Molecule: non-coding RNA, 76 nt
Organism: Phrynosoma platyrhinos (Desert horned lizard)
Lineage: Eukaryota; Metazoa; Chordata; Lepidosauria; Squamata; Phrynosomatidae
Source: the annotation of a GenBank genome assembly
CCAUGUGUGGCAUAGCGGUUUGAGUGUCAGACUAGGACUCUGGAGACCAGGGUUCAAAUCCAAACUCUGCCGUGGA